AUGCUUUCUUUCAUUGUUUAAUUUCCUCACUUACUUACUUAGAUAAAUAUCUAAUUGAAUUGCUUGCUUAACUCUUAUCCGCGCAUCCUUUAGUUGCAAGUAUAUUCAAAUUGUUUACUCAAGUUUCUUUUAAUAAAACUGCAUUAAGAUUCAUUAUAUUGAAAUGCUUGCUUGGAAAAAUCUAGACUAAUUGUUUAUUGAGUCCGCUCCUUAAUAGUUUUAAUCUUGAUCAGAUUAGAAUCAA
This 244-nucleotide long non-coding RNA is filed under the name Phoenix dactylifera (date palm). RNAcentral's name for it is "long non-coding RNA (PDAC_LNC009490)". Lineage: Eukaryota; Viridiplantae; Streptophyta; Magnoliopsida; Arecales; Arecaceae. The record is from RNAcentral.